CACCACUCAAGCCUAGCUUGGUAUUGGGCGCCGCGGUUCGUCCGCGCGCCUUAACGUCUCCGGCUGAGCCGUCCGUCUCUAAGCGUUGUGAACAACGUCCGCUUGCGAGAUUGGAGGGCGCUGGCCGUUAAACACCACGUUCAAA
Molecule: unclassified non-coding RNA, 145 nt
Filed under: uncultured Teratosphaeriaceae
Lineage: Eukaryota; Fungi; Ascomycota; Dothideomycetes; Mycosphaerellales; Teratosphaeriaceae
Description: sequence contains ITS2
Source: RNAcentral